This is a long non-coding RNA of Macaca mulatta (Rhesus monkey), 3364 nucleotides long. The record is from Ensembl. Lineage: Eukaryota; Metazoa; Chordata; Mammalia; Primates; Cercopithecidae.
CCGAGGUUAACUUAAGUAGCACCUCCUAGGAUGUUUGCUUUGGAAGGGGUUGCACUUGAGGGUUGAGCUUAAAUUGCUUCUUCAUCUCUGAUGAUCACUCCAUUGCUUGUUUAAAAGGCAUCAGUACUCAGUCAAGCUAGCUGGAAUGGGUUGAAUUGUGGCCGCCCCAAAAGAUACGCCCACAACCUAACCCUUGGACUCCGUUUGAAGUUUGGGAGUAGGAAGGAAACCUUUCUUCCAUGUUGAGCUGUUGUAAUUUCUAGUUUUACUCUGAUAAGCCCUGUAUAAUAAGCCCCUGAAGACUCUGAGACUUACCGUCUACUCAUUCCUAAUCAUGAUCUGAAAAACAGACUGUCUUUAGAAAAAACAAGAGUUGGUUUAUAAUUUGUGCUUCUACACAUUGUCCUCCCACCUGGGAGCAAGGGGGCUUGGCCAGCAGACAGGACUGGUGUGUGUACUUAUGACAGGCAUAGGAGAAGAGGCAGGUGGCAAUCCAUAGCUCCUGUAUCAGUUUGAAUCCUUCGUCACGUGUCCCUUCCUGUUGGUAAACACAGAUAACAGCCUAAUCCUGGGGCUGCUGCGAAUGACACUGCCACAGCUCCGGGCACCUGCCAGCCAAGGACAGAUGGCGACCACUGCCACCCACAGGCUGUCCCAGGGAGAAUUUAUGGUCUGGCCAAAAAGAGAGCUUCCUAAUGAGGCAUCCUGGAAACUGAUGGGAACUGUGUUCUUAUCCAUCUUCCCCACCUCUUGUGCCCCAUCAACUCAGAGUGGCCCAGAAGCCCAAAGCUGAGAGGACGAAGCUCAAUGGGGUAAGUUAACAUCACUCCAGAUCCGCCCCAGUGAAGACAGGGAGAAUUGCCUACACGUGAAAAAAUGUGACAAACUUAUUUGUAAAGCUUAUCUGACAGUUUUGUCUAUAUUUGAUACAUUCAUUCCUCCACAAUCUCUGCUUUACCAAAAUCCAUGUGGGUGCAUCAUAAAGAGAGAUGUUUGAUGACCAAGUUGUUCUGGGCAAGUCAAGGUAAACAGAUGAUAAUUACUUCACAGGGAUUAUUUUUGCAAUGUAAUGGCUGGUCACUCCCUCGACUGUGUAUAUCUCUUAACAUGUAAUUCAGAAACAUGGCCUGUGCCUUAGGGAGAGCAUGAAGAUACACAUGAGAUGGGCAUUCAUUACCUGUUUAGUCAUGCCAGAGACUCUAAAAAAUGACGUUCUUGAAGAUCUUUAUUCUUGGUGCUUUAUUUUUCAUUUGAAACUCAAACAGCAGAAUACUUCUUUUGAGGUUUGAGUUUAGGCAAUUCCUUUUCAAAAGAAUACAUACACAUGGCCAACAAGCAUAUGAAAAAAAAGCUACACAUCACCAAUUAUUAGAGAAAUGCACAUCAAAACCACAAUGAGAUACCAUCGCACAUCAGUCAGAAUGGCUAUUACUAAAAAGUCAAAAAAUAACAGAUGCUGGUGAGGUUAUGGAGAGAAAGGAAUGCUUCUACACUUUUGGUGGGAGUGUAAAUUGGGCCAGCCACUGCGGAAAGCAGCGUGGUGAUUCCUUGAAGAGCUAAAAACAGAAUAGCCAUUCAACUCAGCAAUCUCAAUACAGGCAUAUACCCAAAGAAAUAGAAAUCAUUCUGUCAUAAAGACAUGCACACAUAUGUUCAUUGCAGCACUAUUCACCAUAGCAGAGAUACGGAAUCAACCUAAAUGCCCAUCAGUAAUUGACUGGAUAAAACAUGUGAUACACAUACACCAUGGAAUACUAUGCAGCCAUAAAAAAGAAUGAGGUCACAUUAUUUGUAGGAACGUAGAUGAAGCUGGAGGCCAUUAUCCUUAGCAAACUAAUACAGGAACAGAAAACCAAAUUGUUCUCACUUAUAACUGGGAGCUAAAUGAUGAGAACGCUUAGACACAUAGAGGGGAACAACAUACACUGGGGCCUACUUGAGGGUGGAGGGUGGGAGGAAGGAGAGGAUCAGAAAAAAUAACUAAUGGGUACUAGGCUUAAUACCUGGGUGAUGAAACAAUCUGUACAAUAAACAUUUGUAACGCAAGUUUACCUAUAUAACAAACCUGCACAUGUACCCCUGAACUUACAUUAAAAAAAAAAAAGAGUUUAGUGCAGUUCAUUGUUCUUGAAGAGGCAUACAUGAAGUCGUUUCUCAUGACCAGUACUGCUUCAAGGGUGUUAUCAAAAGUACCGAACAACAAAACGCUCCUUAAAAACUUGGGCUUGCCAUGCAAUUAAAAAUGAAAGAGUGGUUUUUAGAUUAGGAUUAAUUUUAUGACCAAAUAGAGGGUCGAGCUACUUUGAACAUGCUGCAGUUGACAGUUUAUUACACAAGAACAAAGGCGCCGGUGCGUAAAACUUAGGUAACAGCUACAAUAACUUAAAACAAAUCUCAGGGGCCACCACAUUUCUACAGUUGAGACUUUUUUCCCAAGAAGGGAGGCUGCACCUGCCCCCUGCCAAGACAGUCUUGCGUGGCCCUAAGAAAACCACCUAACUCAGUUGGAACGGUACCAGUUUUGUGAUUAAAGUAGGGCUUGGGUCCAGCCAAACAUUCGUUUGGAAGAAUGAGUAACUAGGCUGUUUCAGGAGCAGCAGUGUUGGUAAGAUCAAAACCAGGGCGGGGAAGAAGCCCCGGGCCACUCGUAUUUCUAAAAGUGUCUUCCCAGAGUCCUCAAGGUAUAUUCCUGCUGGGAACAAGUAUCAGAAUUUUAUUCCUUUUUAAGGCUGAAUACUAUUCCAUGUUUUUGUUAUUCAUUCAUCAGUCAUUGGACAUUUGGGUAAAAACAGAACUUUUUAUCUUACUAGCUCGUAUAUGAACAAGCUCAAGUCUUGUUCAUAUAUGAGCUAGUAAUAUUUUAAAAAGUCAGUUUCUUCUUUAGAAUAAGAGCAUUUUAAGCAACUUCACUGACGAAAAUUGCCCAACCUCUUUAAUCGUGUGGGGAAGAAUAGAUGAUAAAAUACAAAAGUCAGUGGGCAACAGCAUGUAUUUAAAUCACAGCAAACAUGUAAAUAGGAGUAUCAUUCCUCCCCUACUCCUCCACCUCAGGUUUUUUUUGUUGCUGUUCUGGAAAAAUAUUCGGGGUACAAAGAUUGCAUUUCAAAAAUAGAAUUUAUGAGCCUAAUCAUCUUAACAGGGAACAUAAAUGCCAAAACAGCCUCUGUGAGUCAUUUCUUGGAUUCUGAAAGGAAUUCAUUUCAAACAGGAGUUUUCUCAUCUUUGAGGUUUGUUUUAAGAAGUUCCAAAAGCAAAUAGCAAAAUAACAAAACACCUGGAGCUGCAGAUCUCGAAGCACCCUUCAAAAUAGCAGCCCUGGUGUCAGACAUCUGGGGCUGGCUCUGGGCUGGAGGGGUCUGCAUUC